GAUGAACGCUAGCGGUGUGCUUAAUGCAUGCAAGUCGAACGGGAUCCCAUGGAUUCGUCCAGGGUGAGAGUGGCGGACGGGUGAGUAACGCGUUGGUGACCUGCCUCGGAGAGGGGGACAACCAUUGGGAAACGAUGGCUAAUACCCCGGAUGUUAUCGAGUUUAGAAAUCGAUAACUAAAGCUCUGGCGCUCCGAGAGGGGCCAGCGUCCCAUCAGCUUGUUGGUAAGGUAACGGCUUACCAAGGCUCAGACGGGUAGGGGGCGUGAGAGCGUGACCCCCCCACACUGGUACGUGAAACAACGGACCGAGAUACCUACGGGUAGGCACGCAGCAAGGAAUAUUUGCGCAAUAGGGCGG
This 359-nucleotide ribosomal RNA is filed under the name uncultured bacterium. RNAcentral's name for it is "bacterial SSU rRNA". It matches the Rfam family "Bacterial small subunit ribosomal RNA", at positions 28 to 379 of the family's 1533-position model. The record is from RNAcentral.